GAUGAACGCUGGCGGCGUGCCUAAUACAUGCAAGUCGAGCGAACAGACGAGGAGCUUGCUCCUCUGACGUUAGCGGCGGACGGGUGAGUAACACGUGGAUAACCUACCUAUAAGACUGGGAUAACUUCGGGAAACCGGAGCUAAUACCGGAUAAUAUAUUGAACCGCAUGGUUCAAUAGUGAAAGACGGUUUUGCUUUCACUUAUAGAUGGAUCCGCGCCGCAUUAGCUAGUUGGUAAGGUAACGGCUUACCAAGGCAACGAUGCGUAGCCGACCUGAGAGGGUGAUCGGCCACACUGGAACUGAGACACGGUCCAGACUCCUACGGGAGGCAGCAGUAGGGAAUCUUCCGCAAUGGGCGAAAGCCUGACGGAGCAACGCCGCGUGAGUGAUGAAGGUCUUCGGAUCGUAAAACUCUGUUAUUAGGGAAGAACAAAUGUGUAAGUAACUAUGCACGUCUUGACGGUACCUAAUCAGAAGGCCACGGCUAACUACGUG
Molecule: ribosomal RNA, 497 nt
Filed under: uncultured bacterium
Lineage: Bacteria
Description: partial 16S ribosomal RNA
Rfam family: Bacterial small subunit ribosomal RNA
Source: RNAcentral